UCGGAAACCGGGAGACUUGAGUGCAGAAGAGGACAGUGGAACUCCAUGUGUAGCGGUGAAAUGCGUAGAUAUAUGGAAGAACACCAGUGGCGAAGGCGGCUGUCUGGUCUGUAACUGACGCUGAGGCUCGAAAGCAUGGGUAGCAAACAGGAUUAGAUACCCUGGUAGUCCAUGCCGUAAACGAUGAGUGCUAAGUGUUGGAGGGUUUCCGCCCUUCAGUGCUGCAGCUAACGCAUUAAGCACUCCGCCUGGGGAGUACGACCGCAAGGUUGAAACUCAAAGGAAUUGACGGGGGCCCGCACAAGCGG
RNAcentral lists this ribosomal RNA (308 nucleotides) under uncultured bacterium. Its description in RNAcentral is "bacterial SSU rRNA". It matches the Rfam family "Bacterial small subunit ribosomal RNA", at positions 626 to 932 of the family's 1533-position model. The record is from RNAcentral.